This 402-nucleotide ribosomal RNA is filed under the name uncultured bacterium. Its description in RNAcentral is "bacterial SSU rRNA". It matches the Rfam family "Bacterial small subunit ribosomal RNA", at positions 355 to 774 of the family's 1533-position model. The record is from RNAcentral.
UGGGGAAUAUUGCACAAUGGGGGAAACCCUGAUGCAGCAACGCCGCGUGAGUGAUGACGGCCUUCGGGUUGUAAGGCUCUGUCUUCAGGGACGAUAAUGACGGUACCUGAGGAGGAAGCCACGGCUAACUACGUGCCAGCAGCCGCGGUAAUACGUAGGUGGCACGCGUUGUCCGGAUUUACUGGGCGUAAAGGGAGCGUAGGCGGACUUUUAAGUGAGAUGUGAAAUACCCGGGCUCAACCUGGGUGCUGCAUUUCAAACUGGAAGUCUAGAGUGCAGGAGAGGAGAGUGGAAUUCCUAGUGGAGCGGUGAAAUGCGUAGAGAUUAGGAAGAACACCAGUGGCGAAGGCGGCUCUCUGGACUGUACCUGACGCUGAGGCUCGAAAGCGUGGGGAGCAAACA